RNAcentral lists this ribosomal RNA (468 nucleotides) under uncultured bacterium. Its description in RNAcentral is "partial 16S ribosomal RNA". It matches the Rfam family "Bacterial small subunit ribosomal RNA", at positions 28 to 507 of the family's 1533-position model. The record is from RNAcentral.
GACGAACGCUGGCGGCGUGCUUAACACAUGCAAGUCGAACGGAAAGGCCCUGCUUUUGUGGGGUGCUCGAGUGGCGAACGGGUGAGUAACACGUGAGUAACCUGCCCUUGACUUUGGGAUAACUUCAGGAAACUGGGGCUAAUACCGGAUAGGUGCUCCUGCUGCAUGGUGUGGUUUGGAAAGUUUCGGCGGUUGGGUAUGGACUCGCGGCUUAUCAGCUUGUUGGUGGGGUAGUGGCUUACCAAGACUUUGACGGGUAGCCGGCCUGAGCAGGUGACCGGCGAAAUUGGGCCUGCGAUACGGCCCAGACUCAUCCGGGAGGUAACAGUGGGGAAUAUUGCACGAUGGGAGGAAGCGUGAUGCAGCAAUGCCGCGUGCGGGAUGAAGGCCUUGGGGUUGUAAACCGAUUUCGCCUGUGACGAACCGUGAGUGACGGUAAUGGGUAAAGAAGCACCGGCUAACUACGUG